RNAcentral lists this long non-coding RNA (1881 nucleotides) under Capsicum annuum. RNAcentral's name for it is "long non-coding RNA (CANN_LNC013431)". The record is from RNAcentral. Lineage: Eukaryota; Viridiplantae; Streptophyta; Magnoliopsida; Solanales; Solanaceae.
ACUAUAAAAAUUUAUUAUACGCAACCUUUUUCACAUCUCGACAGUUUGGAGCUUAAUUAUAAAAAAUCUUGAAAAAAUCUCAAUUUUGGACCUAUCAAAAUACAUAAUUAAUUCCUGAUACAUCGAAUGAAGAUACAACUUUCCUUUGCAAAGAUACAUAAUUAGCUUUCAAUAUAUUUUUUUUCGAUUUUGAAUCUGUCGAGAUACAUAAUAAAUAAAUAAAAAAAUUUACUUUGUAAAAGAUACAUAAUUAGUUUUCGAUAUAUUUUUUCAAUUUUGAGUCUGUCGAGAUACAUAAUUAGCUCCCGAUACAUUCAAUAAAGAUAUAUAAUUAGUUGAAAUUUUUAUAAUUACUUUGUAAGAAUAAAAUUUUUGUAUAAAUAUAAUAAGUUAAGGCAUAUAUUUCUAUUAUUUUUCAUGAUUAUUUUCUUAAUUUGAAUUUAUGACCCGUGUGAAAUAAAAUGUGAGAAAUAAAUUGCCAUAAAAAGAUGAGAAUUAUUGAUAGAUAAACAGUCAAAGCUUAGAUUAAAUGUGUCCCCACUUAAAGACUUUUUAGACUUUAAAAAGGAGAGAAUCAAAUCAAAUUCCAUAGAAAAUUGAAUAAUUUGUAACUUUCAAACUUUGUCCAAUCAGAAAAUUAAGAAAUAAAAAAUAAAAAAGAGAAAAGGACUAAAAAUGGAAAAAGGGGAGAAAAUUUUACUUUAUGGAGCACAGUGUCUUAAUUAAGGAAAAAACUUUUUGGCCAUAAAAUUUGGCCAUAAUUUGGCCAUAAUAGUAAUAAAUGUUAUUCACAUUAUAAACUAAUUUAUUUUAAGACAUUUUUACUCUUUUCUAACAUUACUUUAUUUAUUAUACAAUUUUCCAAUACAUUGAAAACUAUCCCAAUACAUGGGAAUGAAUAAUUUAUGUAUUUAAUUAUAAUUAUUUAAUUUUAUUAAUUGGCAAUUACACAAUUAAAAAAUCAUCAAAUGUAGUAAUAUGUUAUUAAGAAAAUAAAAAUUAAUUAGUACAAAUUUAUUUGUUAAUUGUUAGUUAUAUUUUUUCUUUUUUACAUUAUUAGUUGUAUAAUUUUUGUUCAACUUUAAAUUAUGUAGUAUAGUUUAUACUUUGUACAUAUUUUAAAAAAUUUAAUUAAAUUGUUUUACUUAUUUUUUAUCUAGUUCGAUUUUAUGAUUUUUUUAAUGAAUAUGAAAAUUAUUGUAUGGAAAUAGAGUUUUAACGGUGAAUCCCGAAAUAGUCAGAUAAGUUUUAAAAUUUUUCUUCAAAUAUCACUUAUAUUUUAUUUAGGAUCACAAUAUCACUCAACUAUCACUUUUUUCCUCAAAAAAUAGUAAACAUCUCAAAAGUUUUCUUCUCUCUUGGUUGACAUGAAUGUCACUAAUUUUUAUUUUUAUUUUUAAAAAGAAUAAACUUAUUUAACUCAUCAAACUCAUUCAAUCAAACUAUAGUUCUUUAUUUCUUUGAAAGAAUGCAUUAGUUUUUUUAAAAAAAUUAUACUUAAAAAAUUUUUAUCGGUACUAAAACUUGACGUAUAUUUUUUCAAGGGUUAUUUUUGUCAUUGACCACUCAUAAUUUUUAUUUUCAUACAAAAAUUAUUUUUAUCUUUUUAGAGAUAAUAAUAUGACUCAACUUUCACUAUCUAAAAAAAACAAGUAUCGUAUAUGUCUCUUUCUCUUCUAAUUGGCGGACGAUGUUAUUAAAUUAUUUUUUUAAUAAGAGACUUAUUUAAAUCAUCAAACUUAUUUAGUCAAAAUUAUAUUCUUAUUCUUUUCUUUAAAAUAUAUUAAUUUAUUAAGAAAAAAUUUUCAUGCUUAGAAAUCUUUUAUCAUUACUUAAACUUUCAAUUUUUUUCUAAAGUUAUUUUUUUGGAUUAUUAUANNN